This 497-nucleotide ribosomal RNA is filed under the name uncultured bacterium. RNAcentral describes it as "partial 16S ribosomal RNA". It matches the Rfam family "Bacterial small subunit ribosomal RNA", at positions 28 to 507 of the family's 1533-position model. The record is from RNAcentral.
GAUGAACGCUGGCGGCGUGCCUAAUACAUGCAAGUCGAGCGAACGGACGAGAAGCUUGCUUCUCUGAAGUUAGCGGCGGACGGGUGAGUAACACGUGGAUAACCUACCUAUAAGACUGGGAUAACUUCGGGAAACCGGAGCUAAUACCGGAUAAUAUUUUGAACCGCAUGGUUCAAAAGUGAAAGACGGUCUUGCUGUCACUUAUAGAUGGAUCCGCGCUGCAUUAGCUAGUUGGUAAGGUAACGGCUUACCAAGGCAACGAUGCAUAGCCGACCUGAGAGGGUGAUCGGCCACACUGGAACUGAGACACGGUCCAGACUCCUACGGGAGGCAGCAGUAGGGAAUCUUCCGCAAUGGGCGAAAGCCUGACGGAGCAACGCCGCGUGAGUGAUGAAGGUCUUCGGAUCGUAAAACUCUGUUAUUAGGGAAGAACAUAUGUGUAAGUAACUGAGCACAUCUUGACGGUACCUAAUCAGAAAGCCACGGCUAACUACGUG